UGGGGAAUAUUGCACAAUGGGCGAAAGCCUGAUGCAGCAACGCCGCGUGAGUGAUGAAGGUCUUCGGAUUGUAAAGCUCUGUCUUUUGGGACGAUAAUGACGGUACCAAAGGAGGAAGCCACGGCUAACUACGUGCCAGCAGCCGCGGUAAUACGUAGGUGGCGAGCGUUGUCCGGAUUUACUGGGCGUAAAGGGUGCGUAGGCGGAUGUUUAAGUGAGAUGUGAAAUACCCGGGCUUAACUUGGGUGCUGCAUUUCAAACUGGAUAUCUAGAGUGCAGGAGAGGAGAAUGGAGUUCCUAGUGUAGCGGUGAAAUGCGUAGAGAUUAGGAAGAACACCAGUGGCGAAGGCGAUUCUCUGGACUGUAACUGACGCUGAGGCACGAAAGCGUGGGUAGCAAACAGGAUUAGAUACCCUGGUAGUCCACGCCGUAAAACGAUGAGUACUAGGUGUAGGAGGUAUCGACCCCUUCUGUGCCGCAGUAAACACAUUAAGUACUCCGCCUGGGAAGUACGAUCGCAAGAUUA
This 526-nucleotide ribosomal RNA is filed under the name uncultured bacterium. Its description in RNAcentral is "partial 16S ribosomal RNA". It matches the Rfam family "Bacterial small subunit ribosomal RNA", at positions 355 to 896 of the family's 1533-position model. The record is from RNAcentral.